RNAcentral lists this transfer RNA (33 nucleotides) under Gaertnera phyllostachya. RNAcentral describes it as "partial tRNA-His". Lineage: Eukaryota; Viridiplantae; Streptophyta; Magnoliopsida; Gentianales; Rubiaceae. The record is from RNAcentral.
GGCGGAUGUGGCCAAGUGGAUCAAGGCAGUGGA